UACGUAGGGCGCAAGCGUUGUCCGGAAUUAUUGGGCGUAAAGAGCUCGUAGGCGGCCUGUUGCGUCCGCUGUGAAAUCCCGGGCUCAACCCCGGGCCUGCAGUGGAUACGGGCAGACUAGAGGUAUGCAGGGGAGAACGGAAUUCCUGGUGUAGCGGUGAAAUGCGCAGAUAUCAGGAGGAACACCGGUGGCGAAGGCGACUUACUGGACGACAUAUUGACGCUGAGGUGCGGAAGCGUGGGAGCAAACAGG
This 252-nucleotide ribosomal RNA is filed under the name uncultured bacterium. RNAcentral's name for it is "partial 16S ribosomal RNA". It matches the Rfam family "Bacterial small subunit ribosomal RNA", at positions 524 to 776 of the family's 1533-position model. The record is from RNAcentral.